GGGGAUGUAGCAUAGUUGGUAGAGCAUUUGCCUCCUAUGCACAGAGCCUUGGGUUCGAUCCCCAGCACCG
This 70-nucleotide transfer RNA is filed under the name Mus musculus (house mouse). It matches the Rfam family "tRNA". Rfam says of the family: Transfer RNA (tRNA) molecules are approximately 80 nucleotides in length. Their secondary structure includes four short double-helical elements and three loops (D, anti-codon, and T loops). Further hydrogen bonds mediate the characteristic L-shaped molecular structure. tRNAs have two regions of fundamental functional importance: the anti-codon, which is responsible for specific mRNA codon recognition, and the 3' end, to which the tRNAs corresponding amino acid is attached (by aminoacyl-tRNA synthetases). tRNAs cope with the degeneracy of the genetic code in two manners: having more than one tRNA (with a specific anti-codon) for a particular amino acid; and 'wobble' base-pairing, i.e. permitting non-standard base-pairing at the 3rd anti-codon position. The record is from Rfam by way of RNAcentral. Lineage: Eukaryota; Metazoa; Chordata; Mammalia; Rodentia; Muridae.